AGAUGCAAUGAAUUUCAGGACAAAAUGUGCCCCCCCCCACUUGCCACCUGUUACGGAAAGGGAAGCAUUCUUACUGGCCCUUCCAGAGGGAAGUCAGCACUGGGAAAACAAGAAAGAAGAACAUUACCCAAGCCUCCCACUGCCCCACAGCCCUAAAUUCCUAUCCUGAAUCUGCCUUAAGGUAGAAAUUAAUUAUCUGAGGUCACAUUCAGGUUGCAUUUGUUCAGAAAUGAUCUCUAUCUAAAAAAACAGAACCACUUUUGUAAAGCCAGAGUAGAGACUGCAUGAAGAUUAAAGCUCAACAAUUCUUGAAGAACUUUUUAAAAAUUCCCACCGGACAAGGCCUCGCACCCCACCUUGCUACAGAAAAUACAUUACUGCUUUGCUGCAAAAGUUUUGUGAGAUGGCAGAAGGAUUAAGAAUCGAUAAUGACAAAAAUAUGUUGAAGAAGCAAAGAGGAAAUUAAUCGUAAGGAGGAAGACAAUAACACAAGUAGGCAAGAUUGUGAAAGAGAAGGAUAUUUUUAUGGCAACAAAGGUUGUCAUCAGAAUAAUUUAAAGCAGGAGUCCUUUCAAGAAAAAGGACGGUUAUAGAAGCUGGAGAUAAGAAAGGACAAAAGAAAGAGAGUAGACGUCUUUGAACUAUGAAUCUGAAGAAGGUUCCUCAAAGUGUCAUUGGCCCCUUUGAAUUGUGAGGCUGAAGAAAAGGAAUGAAGAAAAUUUGAACAGCAAGAAGAACAAAUUAGUCAGUGCUCAAUGAAAUAAAAUCAAACUGCUCUCUAUAAGCCCUAAGAAGCGAGGGAAUGCCUAACUGUUUUGAACCAUAAAGUGAGUGGAAAAAAAUUGUUGGAGAAGAUUGUUAAGUUUGGACAAAUCAAAGCCAGUCAGAAAAAGUGUUGGCAGAAGAUAAGUGGAUAGACACUAUCUUCAAUGAUUGAAAUGGGAGGUUCCAAGGACUGAAACCUAGUCCUUCAACUGUUAUUUGAAACUACUAUUACUCUUUAACACUCUAGAGCAGGGGUUCUCAAUCUUGGCAACUUUAAGACUUGUGGACUUCAACUCCCAGAAUUCCUCAGCCAGCCAAGGUUGAGAACUCCUGCUCUAGAGAAUUCUGGAUAAGGAACAGCAAUUUAUCAUUCAACCUGGCUCCAACAUGGAAAAAGAAAAAACUCAGAAAGCAGGAAGAGUCUACCUCACGGGUGUCUUGGGAGGCUAAGAUGGGAUCAAUGCCAAGCCUGCACUGUGAUAGGCAGCAGGGACUGUCUUAUAAAGUGUGUGGGGGGGGGAGAAUGCAAAGUCUUUUUCAGAGUGGACAGAAUAGAAUCCCCCAAAGUGGGCAUGGCCUGGACAAAGAAGUGGACCAUACCAACAAUGAUGCAAUCUAAUUUAAAUUUAAAUUUGAUCAAAAUUAAAUGAAGUUAGGGAGAUAGAUAGAUAGAUAGAUAGAUAGAUAGAUAGAUAGAUAGAUAGAUAUUCUUUUUUUAAAAAGGAAAGAAUUUCAAGUAAUGAUCAUAUACAGUAGCUUUCUUAGCCACUACCCCAAUCCCUUCCAUAAGCAUCACUGGUUUCCUUCGACACCAUUCAAACUUCAAAUUGAUGAAAACUCAAAGCCAGUUUGGUCUACUAGUUAAGGCAGCAGGCUAGAACGCAGGAGAUUGUGAGUUCAAAUCCUGCUUUAGCCAUGAAAGCCAGUUGGGUGACUUUAAGCCAGUCACUCUCCCUCAGCCCAAUACUCUUCACAGGGUUACUGUUGUGGGGAAAAUAAGAGGAGGAAGUUGUGUUGAAUGUUUGCUGUCUUGAGUUAUUUGUAAAAAUAAAAAAGAUGAGAUAGAAACAAACGAACAAACUUUGGAGGAAUGUGCUGAUAGCCACAC
Long non-coding RNA from Crotalus tigris (Tiger rattlesnake), 1873 nucleotides. RefSeq lists it as uncharacterized. The transcript has 3 exons. The record is from RefSeq and is a predicted model, not a curated record. NCBI's taxonomy places the organism in Eukaryota, Metazoa, Chordata, Lepidosauria, Squamata, Viperidae.